UGGGAGCUCGUGGACGAUGACAGCGCC
This 27-nucleotide non-coding RNA is filed under the name Mus musculus (house mouse). Lineage: Eukaryota; Metazoa; Chordata; Mammalia; Rodentia; Muridae. The record is from RNAcentral.